RNAcentral lists this ribosomal RNA (350 nucleotides) under uncultured diatom. Its description in RNAcentral is "SSU rRNA". It matches the Rfam family "Bacterial small subunit ribosomal RNA", at positions 524 to 872 of the family's 1533-position model. The record is from RNAcentral. Lineage: Eukaryota; Bacillariophyta.
GACGGAGGAUGCAAGUGUUAUCCGGAAUCACUGGGCGUAAAGCGUCUGUAGGUGGUUAAGCAAGUCAACUGUUAAAUCUUGAGGCUCAACUUCAAAAUCGCAGUCGAAACUGUUUGACUAGAGUAUAGUAGGGGUAAAGGGAAUUUCCAGUGGAGCGGUGAAAUGCGUAGAUAUUGGAAAGAACACCGAUGGCGAAGGCACUUUACUGGGCUAUUACUGACACUCAGAGACGAAAGCUAGGGUAGCAAAUGGGAUUAGAUACCCCAGUAGUCCUAGCCGUAAACAAUGGAUACUAGAUGUUGAACAGAUCGACCUGUGCAGUAUCAAAGCUAACGCGUUAAGUAUCCCGC